GGGGAAUAGCCCAGAGAAAUUUGGAUUAAUACCCCGUAACAUUGCGAUGUGGCAUCACAUUGCAAUUAUAGCUUCGGCGCUUAUUGAUGGGUGUGCGUAUGAUUAGAUAGUUGGCGAGGUAACGGCUCACCAAGUCUACGAUCAUUAGCUGAUGUGAGAGCAUGAUCAGCCACACGGGCACUGAGACACGGGCCCGACUCCUACGGGAGGCAGCAGUAAGGAAUAUUGGUCAAUGGACGAAAGUCUGAACCAGCUAUGCCGCGUGAAGGAUUAAGGUCCUCUGGAUUGUAAACUUCUUUUAUAUGGGACGAAAAAAGGUCUUUCUAGAUCACUUGACGGUACCAUAUGAAUAAGCACCGGCUAACUCCGUGCCAGCAGCCGCGGUAAUACGGAGGGUGCAAGCGUUAUCCGGAUUCACUGGGUUUAAAGGGUGCGUAGGCGGGCAGGUAAGUCAGUGGUGAAAUCCUGGAGCUCAACUCCAGAACUGCCAUUGAUACUAUCUGUCUUGAAUAUUGUGGAGGUAAGCGGAAUAUGUCAUGUAGCGGUGAAAUGCUUAGAUAUGACAUAGAACACCUAUUGCGAAGGCAGCUUACUACGCAUAUAUUGACGCUGAGGCACGAAAGCGUGGGGAU
Molecule: ribosomal RNA, 632 nt
Filed under: uncultured Bacteroidota bacterium
Lineage: Bacteria; Pseudomonadati; Bacteroidota
Description: bacterial SSU rRNA
Rfam family: Bacterial small subunit ribosomal RNA
Source: RNAcentral